Hyaena hyaena (striped hyena) is the source of this 242-nucleotide long non-coding RNA. RefSeq lists it as uncharacterized. The record is from RefSeq and is a predicted model, not a curated record. The transcript is spliced from 3 exons. NCBI's taxonomy places the organism in Eukaryota, Metazoa, Chordata, Mammalia, Carnivora, Hyaenidae.
GCGGCUGUGAAGAGCGGGAGUGGCCCGGCCCGGCCGUGCGUCUGGCUGCCCGGAACUUGGGAGCCAACCUCGGGCUGCUGCAGCUCCUGCUCGGGGAACAUCGCCUUCCGCUCCGCCGAGCUGGGGUUUUUGGCAGGAGCCGGGUCCAGGGAGGACAGAGGUAACAAUCGCAAAUUUAAAACUGACAGAGUUGGCUCCAGAGAAGGACUUUGUAAAUAGUAGAGGUUUAAAAACAGCCCUGA